GAUGAACGCUGGCGGCGUGCCUAACACAUGCAAGUCGAGCGGACAGACGAGGCUUUUGCUCGGCUGACGAGAGGGGCGGGCGGGUGAGACACACGAGUAUACCCUACCUAUAAGUGUGAGAUCACUACGGGAAAGCGGAUCUAACACCGGAGAAUAUAUUGAAGCGUGUGGGUCAUUGGAGAAAGACGGCUUUGCUGUCACUUAUAGAUGGAUCCCGGCCGGUUGAGCUAGUUGGUAGGGUAACGGCUUACCAAGGCUACGAUGCGUAGCCGACCUGAGAGGGUGAUCGCCCACACUGGAAGUGAGACACGGUCAAGACUCCUACGGGAGGCAGCAGUCGGGAAUCGUCCGCAAUGGGCGAAAGCCUGACGGAGCAACGCCGCGUGUGUGAUGAAGGUCUUCGGAUCGUAAAGCUCUGUUAUUGGGGAAGAACAGAUGUGUACGUAGCUAUGGACGUCUUGACGGUACCUAAUCAAAAAGCACCGGCUAACUACGUG
RNAcentral lists this ribosomal RNA (497 nucleotides) under uncultured bacterium. RNAcentral describes it as "partial 16S ribosomal RNA". It matches the Rfam family "Bacterial small subunit ribosomal RNA", at positions 28 to 507 of the family's 1533-position model. The record is from RNAcentral.